GCCGCAGUGAAUAGGCCCUAGCAACUGUUUAACUAAAACAUAGCUCUCUGCUAAGUCGCAAGACGAAGUAUAGGGGGUGACACCUGCCCGGUGCUGGAAGGUCAAGGGGAUUUGUUAGCCGCAAGGCGAAGCUUUGAACCGAAGCCCCAGUGAACGGCGGCCGUAACUAUAACGGUCCUAAGGUAGCGAAAUUCCUUGUCAGGUAAGUUCUGACCCGCACGAAAGGUGUAAUGAUUUGGGCACUGUCUCGGCAGCAGACUCGGUGAAAUCUUAGUACCUGUGAAGAUGCAGGUUACCCGCAACUAGACGGAAAGACCCCAUGGAGCUUUACUGUAGUCUGCUAUUGAGUUUCGGUUGGAUAUGCACAGGAUAGGUGGGAGACGAUGAACCUGGGAUUUUGGUUUCAGGGGAGUCACCGUUGGGAUACCACUCUUAUUCAACUGGAAUUCUAACGAUGUGCCGUAAUCCGGGCAUCGGACCGUGGCAGAUGGGCAGUUUGACUGGGGCGGUCGCCUCCCAAAGAGUAACGGAGGCGCGCAAAGGUACUCUCAGAAUGGUUGGAAAUCAUUCAUCGAGCGCAAACGCAGAAGAGUGCUUGACUGCGAGACAAACAGGUCGAGCAGGGACGAAAGUCGGCGUUAGUGAUCCGGCGGUGCAGAAUGGAAUGGCCGUCGCUUAACGGACAAAAGCUACCCUGGGGAUAACAGGCUGAUCUCGCCCAAGAGUUCACAUCGACGGCGAGGUUUGGCACCUCGAUGUCGGCUCAUCGCAUCCUGGAGGUGAAUUCGCUUCCAAGGGUUGGGCUGUCCGCCCAUUAAAGCGGUACGCGAGCUGGGUUCAGAACGUCGUGAGACAGUUCGGUCCCUAUCUGUUGUGGGCGUUGGAAAUUUGAGGAGAGCUGCCCCUAGUACGAGAGGACCAGGGUGGACGUUCCUACGGUGCACCAGUUAUCACGCCAGUGGUACAGCUGGAUAGCCGAGAACGGACCGGAUAAACGCUGAAGGCAUCUAAGCGUGAAACCGACUCCAAGAUUAGAUUUCCCAUCAACUUGAUUGAAUAAGACCCCUUGAAGACUACGAGGUUGAUAGGUCAGAGAUGUAAGUGUGGUGACACAUUCAGUUGACUGAUACUAAUAGGUCGAAGGUUUAUUCAC
This 1153-nucleotide ribosomal RNA is filed under the name Erysipelotrichaceae bacterium NK3D112. RNAcentral describes it as "bacterial LSU rRNA". It matches the Rfam family "Bacterial large subunit ribosomal RNA", at positions 1776 to 2925 of the family's 2925-position model. Lineage: Bacteria; Bacillati; Bacillota; Erysipelotrichia; Erysipelotrichales; Erysipelotrichaceae. The record is from RNAcentral.